Molecule: ribosomal RNA, 402 nt
Filed under: uncultured bacterium
Lineage: Bacteria
Description: bacterial SSU rRNA
Rfam family: Bacterial small subunit ribosomal RNA
Source: RNAcentral
GACGAACGCUGGCGGCGUGCCUAAUACAUGCAAGUCGAACGCACUCUCGUUUAGAUUGAAGGAGCUUGCUCCUGAUUGAUAAACAUCUGAGUGAGUGGCGGACGGGUGAGUAACACGUGGGUAACCUGCCCUAAAGUGGGGGAUAACAUUUGGAAACAGAUGCUAAUACCGCAUAAAACCUAACACCGCAUGGUGUAGGGUUGAAAGAUGGUUUCGGCUAUCACUUUAGGAUGGACCCGCGGUGCAUUAGUUAGUUGGUGAGGUAAAGGCUCACCAAGACCGUGAUGCAUAGCCGACCUGAGAGGGUAAUCGGCCACACUGGGACUGAGACACGGCCCAGACUCCUACGGGAGGCAGCAGUAGGGAAUCUUCCACAAUGGACGAAAGUCUGAUGGAGCAACG